CGUAGGGGCGAGCGUUGUCCGGAAUUACUGGGCGUAAAGGGUGCGUAGGCGGCCCUUUAAGUCGGAUGUGAAAGCCCGCGGCUUAACCGCGGAAUGGCAUUCGAAACUGGAGGGCUUGAGUGUCGGAGAGGGUAGUGGAAUUCCCAGUGUAGCGGUGAAAUGCGUAGAUAUUGGGAGGAACACCAGUGGCGAAGGCGACUACCUGGACGAUAACUGACGCUGAGGCACGAAAGCUAGGGGAGCAAAACAGGAUU
This 254-nucleotide ribosomal RNA is filed under the name uncultured bacterium. RNAcentral's name for it is "partial 16S ribosomal RNA". It matches the Rfam family "Bacterial small subunit ribosomal RNA", at positions 526 to 779 of the family's 1533-position model. The record is from RNAcentral.